GACGAACCGUGCGAACGUUGUUCGGAUUCACUGGGCUUAAAGGGCGCGUAGGCGGGCGGUCAAGUCGGGGGUGAAAUCUUUCAGCUUAACUGGAAAAGUGCCUCCGAUACUGAUCGCCUCGAGGGAGGUAGGGGCAUGUGGAACUUCCGGUGGAGCGGUGAAAUGCGUAGAUAUCGGAAGGAACACCUGUGGCGAAAGCGGCUCACUGGACCAUUACUGACGCUGAGGAACGAAAGCCAGGGGAGCGAAAGGG
This 253-nucleotide ribosomal RNA is filed under the name uncultured bacterium. RNAcentral describes it as "partial 16S ribosomal RNA". It matches the Rfam family "Bacterial small subunit ribosomal RNA", at positions 524 to 776 of the family's 1533-position model. The record is from RNAcentral.